This 397-nucleotide ribosomal RNA is filed under the name bacterium CA1. RNAcentral's name for it is "bacterial SSU rRNA". It matches the Rfam family "Bacterial small subunit ribosomal RNA", at positions 64 to 451 of the family's 1533-position model. Lineage: Bacteria; Bacillati; Bacillota; Bacilli; Caryophanales; Bacillaceae. The record is from RNAcentral.
GAGCGGACAGAUGGGAGCUUGCUCCCUGAUGUUAGCGGCGGACGGGUGAGUAACACGUGGGUAACCUGCCUGUAAGACUGGGAUAACUCCGGGAAACCGGGGCUAAUACCGGAUGCUUGUUUGAACCGCAUGGUUCAAACAUAAAAGGUGGCUUCGGCUACCACUUACAGAUGGACCCGCGGCGCAUUAGNUAGUUGGUGAGGUAACGGCUCACCAAGGCAACGAUGCGUAGCCGACCUGAGAGGGUGAUCGGCCACACUGGGACUGAGACACGGCCCAGACUCCUACGGGAGGCAGCAGUAGGGAAUCUUCCGCAAUGGACGAAAGUCUGACGGAGCAACGCCGCGUGAGUGAUGAAGGUUUUCGGAUCGUAAAGCUCUGUUGUUAGGGAAGAACA